CCCUAACCUAGCCCCUACCCUAGCCUCUACCCUACCCUAGCCCCUACCCUAGCCUGUCCCCUACCCUGUGCCCUACCCUAGCCUAGCCUAGCCCCUACCCUUACUACGUCACUUACCUAGGACACAAAAAAGGCUGGAAUGGACUCUCUUGAAAGCAACUCAUUCAAAGACAACAAAAAAAUGCUUGCUCGCUUUCCUGGUCAUUUCUUGUGAGAGAAUAUUCUGAACUACUUUGAUGUGUUGUGAUCUGAUGACUAGAGACUCCCAUAAACUGUAAUUGUAUAUACAGACAGUGCACUUAAGGAAGUCGCCAUAAAGAAAGAAGGGAUGAAAGAUCAUAUUACAGGAAGGAAUGCCACCCUCACAACCCGACAGAAGAGAGUGAAAACGCCUCCCUCCGCUUUUGACCUCUAAUACCUGUGUGCUUUACAUCUGUAAAGGGAUGUUUUUACCACACCGUACCACCCAGGGUAUUAAAGGGAUGUUUUUACCACACCUUACCGCCCAGGGUAUUAAAGGGAUGUUUUUACCACACCUUACCGCCCAGGGUAUUAAAGGGAUGUUUUUUACCACACCUUACCGCCCAGGGUAUUAAAGGGAUGUUUUUACCACACUUUGCCUCCCAGGGUAUUAAAGGGAUGUUUUUACCACACUUUGCUUCCCAGGGUAUUAAAGGGAUGUUUUUACCACACCGUACCGCCCAGGGUAUUAAAGGGAUGUUUUUACCACACCUUACCGCCCAGGGUAUUAAAGGGAUGUUUUUACCACACCUUACCGCCCAGGGUAUUAAAGGGAUGUUUUUACCACACCUUACCGCCCAGGGUAUUAAAGGGAUGUUUUUACCACACCUUACCGCCCAGGGUAUUAAAGGGAUGUUUUUACCACACCUUACCGCCCAGGGUAUUAAAGGGAUGUUUUUACCACACCUUACCGCCCAGGGUAUUAAAGGGAUGUUUUUACCACACCUUACCGCCCAGGGUAUUAAAGGUAUGUUUUUACCACACUUUGCUUCCCAGGGUAUUAAAGGGAUGUUUUUACCACACCUUACCGCCCAGGGUAUUAAAGGGAUGUUUUUACCACACCGUACCGCCCAGGGUAUUAAAGGGAUGUUUUUACCACACUUUGCUUCCCAGGGGAAAUUAUAAGAGCAACAGCUGUAGCCACAUAACUGCUGGAAUACCUGUGAUACAGACUGCCUGCGCGUGUGUCUGAGAUUAUAACCAUACCAUUGGAUUACCUGGCAAUGACAUACAUACAACACUGGAGUCUGGAGGAGUGAGAUCGUGUGCUGAGGGAGCCCUAGAAAAGAGGAUGAAUAGCCGGCAUUGUCCACUGCCUUCCUGGAAACUAAGGAGACUUAAGAGAUUCAUGCCAUGUCAGUCACGGUACGCCGGGACUCUGAGCCAGAUGCAAUGAAUACCUGCUCAGUGACCGGUGGCGAUUAUGUCUGGGGCUGGAACGACCUGGAACUGAAAGCGCAUUUGUGGCUGCCAGCCUGUCUCCUGGGGCUCCAGGGUUCUCUGGCUGCCGCUCUGAAAUGGAACCCCAGUGUCUAAGCUGGUUUUGGGCCAGACUCCAGCUCUGACUGGGGGGCUGGCUGGAGCCUGGGUGAUUUGGUUUUCUCCGUCUCCAGAGGAGUCUGUCUUCCUACAGUCGGCAGAGGAAAGGAAGAGACUCACCGCAGUGAAAUACACAAAGCUGGGUUGUAUUCAGUAGGCAUCAAAUGGACUGAAACAGGAGAAGACUACCUGAACUUGUCCAAUAAGAAAUGCACAUUUUUCAUAUUAGUUUGCCCUAAUGAACAUGACCCAAUUCUAGUGCCUUUUUCCAUACAGUAGAUCUCGGUUCUGGGUCUAUACUAAAGGCAUGGAAAGUUGGACACUUCCACAUUGUAAAGAAAAGAGAAGUUUGUAGAGAAUUGUAAAUAGAUAUUAUUACACCCAUGAAUUGUGAUGGAAGGAUUCCAUAUCGCUAACCAUAAGCUAGUACUGAGACAUUAGUUGUUUUCCUAGUCUCUUGAGCACCAUAUAACUCUACAGUGUAAUUACAUUUUACUAGUGCAAACUCACAUCUGACCACUCCCAUUCAAAUUCAUUCAUAUUUGUCAUGUUCUGAAUCUGCAGUAAAGGCAUAUUAAUACAUUGCAUUUGGUGUUCCAGCAUUCUAUUACUAUUCUAGUAAUUCUAGAACUAGAUUCUAGUGUUACUUAAUGCACCAGGAUUCUAUUAAUAUUCUAGAAAUUCUAGAACUAUAUUCUAGUGUUACUUAAUGCACCAGGAUUCUGUCUCCUAAUAUGGUUUCAAAGUGCUUUAAAUGCCACUAAUAGCGAUUGAGAGAAAGUGUAACUCAGUAUUGGAUCUUAGGCUGUUAAGCGUCUUAUACAACUGGUUUAUCUUUCCACAAGUGAAGCUACGCCUGCAGUGGGUGUGGAGGGCUCUCUACAAUAGGGCAGACAACAAUAAAAAACCUUUAUAAGUAUCAGUUGCUUUUCAGCCAUGUAGGUGUUUUCACACCGGUUUGCAUUCCUGUCGCUACUGUAGACAGGGGUUAUUGAGGGUUUGUUUAGCUUUCUCUAGAUCCAGUCACUGUUGCCAAUACCUACACAAGUAAGUAGAUAAGUGCAUGAUUGUCAAUGGAACCAGGAACAGACUGAAAAGUGAGGGCAGUUGAGUACAUGUUGUGCUCUGUUCUACAAAGGUAAAAAAAAAAAACAGCUGUUGCAUGUUGGAAACGUUAAUAUCAUGCAGUGUUGAAGAAUGACUGAGGAUCAGAAUGAAUGCACUGUUAUGGUCACAUACUGUCAUGUUAAUGCUACUUGUGAACAUCACUUUGGUUCUGUAGACUCUUAUGAGUCAGUAGGGCAAUAUGGCAUGGGGGCUGGACUAGCAGGGCCCCAAAUGGCCCAGUCAGUAUGGACUAGAGGAUCCCUAAAUGGCCCAGUCAGUAUGGACUAGAGGAGCCCUAAAUGGCCCAGUCAGUAUGGACUAGCAGAGCCCAGUCAGUAUGGACUAGCAGAGCCCCAAAUGGCCCAGUCAGUAUGGACUAGCAGAGCCCCAAAUGGCACAGUCAGUAUAGACUAGCAGAGCCCCAAAUGGCCCAGUCAGUGUGGACUAGCAGAGCCCAGUCAGUAUAGACUAGCAGAGCCCCAAAGUGCCCAGUCAGUAUGGACUAGCGGAGCCCCAAAGGGCCCAGUCAGUAUAGACUAGCAGAGCCCCAAAGGGCCCAGUCAGUAUGGACUAGCGGAGCCCCAAAGGGCCCAGUCAGUAUGGACUAGCGGAGCCCCAAAGGGCCCAGUCAGUAUAGUCAGUAUAGACUAGCCCACUUACUGUUGUUCUUCCAUGUCUUUAUCAUUUUUAAACCUUAUAUAGAUAACUGUCUCUAUGGUUGAGACUUUGUUUCACAUGGUUUCUGUGCUGAUAAUGUAAGAUAGAACAUCAAUAUAAUGGAUUAUUUCUGUCAUUUAAGUAUUUGUAAUAUAGUAAAUGUGUUUUGCUCUCUGUCCUUUCCAUGUUACAAGAUUAUUAAAUACCGUUUUAACAUC
Long non-coding RNA from Oncorhynchus tshawytscha (Chinook salmon), 3541 nucleotides. RefSeq lists it as uncharacterized. The record is from RefSeq and is a predicted model, not a curated record. The transcript has 2 exons. NCBI's taxonomy places the organism in Eukaryota, Metazoa, Chordata, Actinopteri, Salmoniformes, Salmonidae.